GAUCAUGGCUCAGAUUGAACGCUGGCGGCAGGCAUAACACAUGCAAGUCGAACGGUAACAGGAAACAGCUUGCUGUUUCGCUGACGAGUGGCGGACGGGUGAGUAAUGUCUGGGAAACUGCCUGAUGGGAGGGGGAUAACUACUGGAAACGGUAGCUAAUACCGCAUAAUGUCGCAAGACCAAAGAGGGGGACCUCGGCCGUCUUGCCAUCGGAGUGUGCCCACGAGUGGGAGUUAAGU
Molecule: ribosomal RNA, 239 nt
Filed under: uncultured bacterium
Lineage: Bacteria
Description: partial 16S ribosomal RNA
Rfam family: Bacterial small subunit ribosomal RNA
Source: RNAcentral